GAGGAUAUAGCUCAAGUAGUAGCGAGCAUGCUUAGCAUGCAUGAGGUCCUGGGUUCAAUCCCCAGUACCUCCU
Transfer RNA from Camelus ferus (Wild Bactrian camel), 73 nucleotides. It matches the Rfam family "tRNA". Rfam says of the family: Transfer RNA (tRNA) molecules are approximately 80 nucleotides in length. The record is from Rfam. Lineage: Eukaryota; Metazoa; Chordata; Mammalia; Artiodactyla; Camelidae.